RNAcentral lists this long non-coding RNA (1976 nucleotides) under Citrus x clementina. RNAcentral describes it as "Citrus clementina (C. clementina) long non-coding RNA (CCLE_LNC005280)". The record is from RNAcentral. Lineage: Eukaryota; Viridiplantae; Streptophyta; Magnoliopsida; Sapindales; Rutaceae.
GAAUGUCAUGACAAAUCCGACAUGUAUUAAAUUCAACUUCAAGUCUGAACAUACGUAUUAAUUGGAUGCUAUUUAUGUUGAUGCCGAAAAACGACCUCAACAGCUGAAUUUGUUUCUUUAGGGGAAUUACAGCACGAAUCCAAGCUCAAACGCCAAUAUGACCGCAAUUUUCCGUACCUGUCAACCAGAAAACACGGUUAGGAUACGCCGGUGGGUUUCCGGCGCAGACCCUCCGAUGCUUAAGUCAGAAAUUGUGUAUAAAGAGAUAAAAAUGAGAGGGAAGAAUUGUGAAUGGGUUCAAAAGAAAGGAAUUUUCCGAUCAAAGAACUCAAAAUCUGGUAAGCUCUGUUAAGGCUCUUAGAUAGGUCACUUCUAGAGUUUUUUGGUUGAUUUUUGCUAACCCCCACCUCAGUUGCCAUUUUCAGCUUAAAUAGGCCCCUGGUCAUGGGUGGUUACCACCUUUAACUUCUGUCCACUUUCUUCAGCAGUUGCACGUGGUCAUCGGUUGGAGAUAGUUUAAAUAGAUCGUGGCACACAACUUUCCUAGAAAUUAGGCCACGUUAUCUUAACCAAUAGCUUUCUAUGUCAAGCUAAUUCUCUGGUCGGGCAAAUAAAUUUCGAGGUCGGACCGGUGAAUUUCCUGGUCGCUCAUAUAGGUCUAAGGUUGUAUUCUUAAAUCAGGUUAUUCACAUAAAUCUCAGGCCGUACUUGUGAACCAGGUCGCCAACAUAGGCUCCAGGUUGUACUUACGUGGUCAGCUCGACAACAACAAUGAGUUCUAAGUAAAUUAGGGUCGACUAUACUUCUGAAGUUUUUUUAGAAAAAUCUAACCUGAACACCAGUCCCCUAGUUUUCGAUAUUGGAAAGUCAUUACCGGUAUUGGAAACUAAUCAGUGAAAAUAGAAAAAAUUGUGUAAACCAAAGUAUAGUCGACACUUGUGCUUUGUGAGCUUUACGUUUGCGGUCUACAAUUGUGCUUUGUGAGCUCUACCUUUGAAGUCGACACUUGUUGCUUUGAAAGUUCUACGUUUGAUGUUGUUUAUUAAGGUCGACAUUUUAGUUUCGUAAAGCCUACGGUUGAGGUCGACAUUUUAGUUUUGAAAAGCCCACGGUUAAGGUCGACCCUUGUUGCUUUGUGAGCUCUACGUUUGAGGUUGUUUAUUAAGGUCGACAUUUUAGUUUCGUAAAGCCUACGGUUGAGGUCGACAUUUUAGUUUUGAAAAGCCCACGGUUAAGGUCGACCCUUGUUGCUUUGUGAGCUCUACGUUUGAGGUUGUUUAUUAAGGUCGACAUUUUAGUUUCGUAAAACCCUACGGUUGAGGUUGACAUUUUAGUUUUGAAAAGCCCACGGUUGAGGUCGACACUUGCUUUGUGAGCUCUACCUUUGAAGUCGACACUUGUUGCUUUGAAAGUUCUACGUUUGAGGUUGUUUAUUAAGGCCGACAGUUUAGUUUUGUGAGGUCUACGAUUGAGGUUGACACUUCAGAUUUGUACGGCCUAUGGUUGAGGUCGACAUUUUAGCUUGGUAAGAUCUAUGCGCGAGGUUGACACUUCGUAAGAAUCUAUAGCGAGGUCAGCUUCGAGCUUCCUAAGGUCAACUUUCCAGCUUAGUUACAAUCGGCAGUAGCCUAAACAUCUUCAGACUUGUCGCGGUCGGCAUUAGCUUUAUUAAAAAUAAGCGUGCAAGCUAUGUAAUAAUUAUCUGAAGUACAAACACAAAAUGAAAGCGCAACAAGAGUUAUACGUUCGUAAAACUACCAAAAGGCAAGCCUUAUAGCAACUUUUCAAAUCUACUUAGAAAGCACUCUCCUCGUCUUCAGCAACUCUGCUUGUUAAAGAUGCCUCACCCUCAACUCUAAUCUCAUCACCCUGAAGAACUCGAUUAGCUUCUUGAUCCGUACCCAAUGACUUCCUCUUAGCCUUUUCUUUGCUCACAUAAGCGGUCAACAUCCAUUGAAAGUCCAUGUCUGGGUGUU